UGAGCCCCUGUGAACCAAGAUGAGCCAGAAAAAUAGGAUGAACCUGGAAUAGGAUUGCUUCUCAAUCUUGUUAUCUUACAUUAAACACAGAGAAAUGUACUAAGUAUACUUUCCCAUUUUAAGUGAAAAAAAUUACAAAGUAUAACAUUCACUUACAGAUAUUUUUGCAAAAUGCCUAAACAUAAAAGACCGCUCUUGGAUCCAAGUAGAUCACAUUCAAAAAGAAUGGCACAAUUAAGAGUUCUUGAAACUACAAGACAGAGACAAGAUCGCCUGGAAUCACAGAGACACAGACAGGCAGCUCUGAGAGCAAAUGAAAAUGAAGAACAAAGAGAAACUCGACUUCACAGAGACAGAACAAGACAGUCAAGAGCUCGAGCAAAUGAAAGUGAGGAACACAGAGAAAUCCGACUUCAAAGACACAGAACAAGACAGUCAAGAGCUCGAGCAAAUGAAAGUGAGGCGCAUAGAGAAACCCGACUUCAAAGAGACAGAACAAGAAAGUCAAUAGCACGAGCAAACGAAAGUGAGGAGCACAGAAAAAUUCGACUUCAGCGAGACAGAAUAAGAAAAUCAAUAACUCGGGCAAGCAAAAAUUGCCACUGCACAUUGAGCAGAUGUUUUCAGGGAACUAUCCACAGUGAUUCCAGGAUCUCUUUCUUGAGGGGUAACAGCUAUUUUAGACCCCCAUCAUUUUUGGUUUCCAGUUCCCAAGCCUGAUGUGAUCUCCCAGCUGGAACGAGGGGAGGAGCUGUGGGUCCCAGAGCUCCAGGGCUCCUUGGACAGACAGAUCCCAAGAGGUGCCUGUGCAGCAGGUGCUGGGAUGGGGGGUGAGAACCAGGAGCUGAAUCCUCAGCUGGAAGAUGCCGAGCGAGUGGAACCACAUGGGGGAUUAGCACAAGGCACCAAAGGGAAUGUGACCAGGCAUCAUGUGCAGGGGGCAGCUUGUGAGAGUCAGCACAGCCCAGAGAAGGAGCAGGGAAACCAGGCCAGUGGGGAAGUGGCCAUAUACAUUAAUAGUGAGGGAACUUAUGAGGACCUCAAGGAAUCUGCAGCGUAGGAGAGAAUACCUACCAGAGAGAGGAAAAAACACAUGCAUAGAGUGUGGGGAAAAUGUCACUCAGAUGUCCUUUCUCAUCAGACAUCAGAGGAUUUCCAUGGGAAAGGGACCCUACACAUGCAGUGAGUGCAGGAAAGAGUUUAUGGAGAAUUCAAAACUUAUUGAACACCAGCAAAUCCACGCAAAGGAGAGACCUAUGUGUGCUGUGAGUGUGGGAAAAGUUUCACUCGGUGCUCCUCUCUCCUUAGACAUCAAAGGAUCCACACAGUGUUGAAACUCUGAAUGUCACGAGUGCAAGAAAAGCUUCCCUUUCAAACCAGACCUAAGAAAUCAUCAGCCUUCCUACAAAUGCUGCGUGGGUGGGGAACAUUUCAUUGAGGAACCAGAUCUUGUCUCAUCUCAGACAGGUCACACAGGAGAGAGACCUCAUGAAUGCUGUGAGUGUGGGAAAUAGUUCAGGCAGAGGUCAUCCCCUAUCAUAUAAUCCGCACCAGAGAGCGACCCCAUGAAUGCAGUGAGUGCGGGAAAACCUUCACCCAGAGCUCAGGCCUCAUUCAUCAUCAGAGAAUGCACACAGGAGAGCGACCCUAAAUCUGCUUUGCGUGUGGGAAAAUGUUCACUCAGAACUCAGGUCUUAUUAAAUAUCAGAAAAAUCCACACAAGAGAGAUAGUAAUAGAAAUGUAGCCGUGUUAGUCUGGUGUAGCUGAAGCAAAAUAUAGGACUAUGUAGCACUUUAAAGACUAACAAGAUGGUUUAUUAGAUGAUGAGCUUUCGUGGGCCAGAC
Pelodiscus sinensis (Chinese soft-shelled turtle) is the source of this 1845-nucleotide non-coding RNA. NCBI's taxonomy places the organism in Eukaryota, Metazoa, Chordata, Testudines, Trionychidae. The record is from RefSeq and is a predicted model, not a curated record.